GACGAACCGAGCGAACGUUGUUCGGAAUCACUGGGCUUAAAGGGCGCGUAGGCGGGCUGCCAAGUUUGGGUGGAAAUCCUCCGGCUCAACCGGAGCAGUGCCUCGAAUACUGGCGGUCUCGAGGGAGGUAGGGGCGUGCGGAACUGUGGGUGGAGCGGUGAAAUGCGUUGAUAUCCACAGGAACUCCGGUGGCGAAGGCGGCACGCUGGACCUUUUCUGACGCUGAGGCGCGAAAGCCAGGGGAGCGAACAGG
Molecule: ribosomal RNA, 253 nt
Filed under: uncultured bacterium
Lineage: Bacteria
Description: partial 16S ribosomal RNA
Rfam family: Bacterial small subunit ribosomal RNA
Source: RNAcentral